GACGAACGCUGGCGGCGUGCUUAACACAUGCCAGUCGAACGGAAAGGCCCUGCUUGCAGGGUACUCGAGUGGCGAACGGGUGAGUAACACGUGGGUGCUCUGCCCUGCACUUCGGGAUAAGCCUGGAAAACUGGGUCUAAUACCGGAUAGGAGCCAUUUUUAGUGUGAUGGUUGGAAAGUUUUUUCGGUGUAGGAUGAGCUGGCGGCCUAUAAGCUUGUUGGUGGGGUAAUGGCCUACCAAGGCGGCGACGGGUAGCCGGCCUGAGAGGGUGGGCGGCCACCUUGGGACCGAGGGGCGGCCCAGACGGCUAAGGGAGGCAGAAGGGGGGAAUAUUGCACAAUGGGCGCAAGCCUGGUGCAGCGACGCCUCGGGGGGGAUGACGGUCUUCGGGUUGUAAAAUCCUUUCGCGAGGGACGAAGCUUUUUGUGACGGUACCUAGAGAAGAAGCACCGGCUAACUACGUG
Molecule: ribosomal RNA, 465 nt
Filed under: uncultured bacterium
Lineage: Bacteria
Description: partial 16S ribosomal RNA
Rfam family: Bacterial small subunit ribosomal RNA
Source: RNAcentral